GCCCUCAGCGAGCGGACACGGGCUGCGGGGCGGCUGGCAGGAACACAGGCUGAGGCAGGACAGUUCAGCGGCAGCAUUCAGAGAUAGGGUGGCAGGCAGGUGGGAUAGGUAGGACUUGAUGAGUCCAAGUCCUGUUGAACUGGAGCCUGAGCAAGGGGCAGAAAAAGCUGGUGGGAGGUGAGGAUAGGGAGGCCAGGUAUGUAAGGUGUUUCGGCUUGUUGGUCUAGCUGUGACAUACUGUUAGAAGCAUAGCUUGGCAGACCUGGAUGGGGACAAAACAUUCAGAAAACCUUUCAACCGAGCUCACACUUCCUUGGAUUUACCUGUGAGGCAUGUGUCAUAGAAUCCCCUGAGUUGUAAGGGACCCACAAGUAUCACUGAAGUCUGUCUCCUGGCCUUGCACAAAACCACCCCAAGAAUUACAUCAGGUACCAAUGAUGCCUGUGCUGAACCACUUCCAUUUUAAUUCUCCUUAGGAUACGCCUGUCUGGGAUGAUGUACCCGACUGCAGCAGCUCCGGUCAGAUCUGCAGAGGCACCCUUACAGCACCUGCUGUUGUGCUUCUAGGUGGCCAGUCCAUCUACUGCCAUCAACCAGAUUAUCCUUUCAGCAUCCCUGAGACACAUGAGUUCUGCUUCAGCAGAUUCCCCAAAGGCAGGGGGAAUGCAACUUCGCUGUAAGAGGAUUUCCCAGGAUUAGGAAGUGAUCACAACAUGAAUGAAAUUACUCAGCAGUGUCACCACAUUCGCCAGCUACCAGUGACCUUUGAAAACUUCUGUGUCUGCUUCAGUGACGUGCUCUUGGUUCUGAACAAAACACCUCUGCUGUCAUUCUGGCCAAAACAACAUCACCAACAUUUGACUAUUCAGUAAACCCCUUAAGAGCAUCCUACUUGCCGUCCCUCCCACAGCCAUCCCUCCCUGCCCUUAGUGUCACACCUGGCUUGAUCUCAUUUACCCCUUGCACUCUGGCCAAAACCCUGUGUUUUUAAUUCUUUCCUCUUUUUAAACUGGAAUGCCAGUAAUCAGUCUUCAGUCUACACCAGCUAAUAGUCUAUUCAGACACACUUUCUCCUAGUCCUACUGAAUUUAAAUUUUUUAAAUACAAAAUAGGAUUCUUUUAGAAGGAAAGAGAGAGACAUUCCCUGAAAUCUCAAUAAGAAGGAAUAAAAGUUAAUGCAUGGCAGCCACAAUCUUCUCUGUCUGGUACAAACCCAAAUUAUGAGGUUGGACUUAGAUUCUUCAGGCUGCUGGACUCUUCUGGCAAGGGAGAAUCUUUUAUUUUUAAUGAAUAUUUCAAAAGGCAUGGGGUUUAUUCCAGUGGUGGUUUUAAUGGAAGCAAUAAGAGCAAUAAGACACUGUUUUCAAAAUUGCUUUAAGCACAGUUUCUUCCCACUUGCCAAACCCUAGCAGCCAGAGCUCCACAGCUCUUUUCGUGCCAGCCAUCCUAUAUUCCAGUCACAAACUUGUAACUCAUAAUCCCAUUUAACUUUGAUACUACAACUGACUUGCCCUAUCCCAAUCCUGUGGUUUCAGACCCAGCAAAUUUGACAUUUCACACUUGUAUGGAAAAUAGCUUGAGGGAUAAAAAGUCUAUGGAGGUUGGCUUUGUUCUUCAUUGUUGAUUGGGUGGAGAUGGCUGAAGAAUAACUGGGAAGGGAUUAGGCAUGUUAGCUUCAUGCUGGAUGAGGAAAGCUGUGUCUUGGCAUUUCUUUCAUGGGGAGCUGUGUUCUAGGAUGACUGGGAUCACCCACUGAAUAGAAUAAUUAAUUGUUAAUCUGCUUAUUAACCUCACCCAUCACUUACACAUUUUUUGUCGAAGUUUGAAAGAGUUGUUGUCAAAUCAAUGCCAUUUUUUUCCUGAAAUCCAUCUCAAUUCCAAGUCUAACUUAGAUUUUCUCCAACCUUUGAACUCAGUGAACCUUAGUUAUGAGGACAGGAACAUUUAUAUUGAAACAUGUCACAGCAUGAGCUGGGAGAAAGAAAAAGGAAUGUUUCAAGAGUGCGGUAGCAUGGAGGGCUUUCUACAAAUGAACAGUAACAUUUUGAAGAAGCUAUCUGUAGGAAGAAAGAAGGAAAAGGCUUGCAAUGUGGCAAAAGAACUGACUAUAGUGCAGAACGUGGAGAAAAAGAACCGCCUUUGAAAGAUCAGAGCAAUUUUCAAGGUACAUUUAGACUGAUUUUAGAACCCUACGAAGUCCAUCUUCUCUGAGCACAAACAGAAGGCAAGCACAUAUUGCAGCCAGGAAGGACAAGGAUAGAAAGGACAAUAGUGUCCCAAAAAGAUGGACUGUCCUCAUCCCUCUGUCCCAGGUGAUGCACGGCACUUCAUUCAAGCAGCCUUUGAAGAGGUGGAUGGUACCACUAAAAGCCAGUGGUAGCUGUACUUUGAGCAGAUGAGGUGCCAGGCUUAAAAAUCCUGAAAAAUCAGGAAAGACACACGUCAAACAGAAAAAUCAAUUUUCUGGCAAGCUCCGGCUGUCAUGAUUUAUAUUGGUGAGUACAGAUGGGAUCUUCAUUCAUGGACAUGCUAAUUACACAGACCAUGUGUUUUCUGUGGAGGAGAAUGAUGACUCUCCCAGAAGGAUAACAUGGCUGUAUCAUUCAGUUCUGAAACUGAGCAUAAUGACCUUAUUUCUGGUAUUGCCUGGCUUUUGAAUCCUUAUCUUGGCAACCUUUGUAUUGUUCAUCUAAUCAAAGUUUUACGUGCCAUAAUAUGACUCUGACAGGCUGGAAUGCUAAUUAUUAGGCAGGCUUCUUAAUUUCUUCCUGGUUUUACUGUUCCACACAGAAAAAGCCCAGCCUUGAAACUGGGUUAUGAAAUAUGAUUGACCUAAAAGUACAGUUUUCAGUCAUCAGAUCCCUGGAAUGACUGCUAUGGAGUUUGUCCAAGGUCUGUUAACUCCUGGCUGUCAUGGAUUUUGACCAGCUCCAACACGUCUGAUACUAAGCUGUAUUAGACAGCUUUGUUAAUCACAUUAUAGCCUUUUAUGAAUUUUGAGAUAAAAAACUCAUAAAAAUUAGAAACUUCCACCUUUUUUGGAUAAAAUAAUUUAUUUGUCUUUUAAUAACAAAUAUAAAAGGUUCAGUGAAAAGACAAGAAUUUUUACUCAAUUGUUUUGCACUCUAGAUAUAAAGGCUAAUGGGCAUAAACUGUUUUUAAGGGAGAGGGAAGAGGGAAGUGAACUAAAAAAGUUUUGGUCUGUCCUCAGGAUUUCCCCACCUGGAUUGAGUCGUUGCAUUGCUUCUGCCAACACGGACAGCACUGUCCAUAGCUGUGCUGUUUGCAUUGUGCCUCAUGGGCAGCAGCAGGGUUGCAAUUAGGCUUGAAUCAGGAGCCAUGGAGGGACUUCACCUCAGUUGGGUCCAAUCAGCACCCUGGCUCCCUUGGUAGGCAAUGAAAAGAGGAGGUUUAUUGGAGAGCCUGUUGUUUUAGACACCCAUUUAGGAUGAGACAUGCUCAAGGCUUGGCUGCUCCCACUGACCAGGUCCCUGCUUGCUGUUAUUAUUUAUUAUGCCAUUAUUUAUAAUUGCCAUUAUCAUUUAUUAUGUCAUACCCAGAUGUCACACACAUCUCUUGCACUGUGGCUCCCACAGCCACUCGCACUAGAGCUGCAGCUCCCCUGGCUAAUCCUGCUGGGCUGUACUUGCCAGUCUGGCUGGAAAGUCACUCCAAGUGUAGAAGAUGUCUACAGGGCCUCAGCAUUUAGCUGAGGAGAGCUACACUGGGGAGGCAGUGAGCAGUGGGAGCUGGCACUCCCUCGUUCCCUGCCAGCUCCCCUGGAGCUGCUGGAGCACACUGGAGAGCAGAAUGAGCAGAGUAGUGUGCAGAGCACCACAACAAGCCCAGUGUGGUUUUGUCUUGCUGAGACAUCUGCUGGGAUGUCAGCAGGUAAGAGGGGAGAUUGAAUUCUUUAUCUUCCAGAUCUGUGUCACAUUUCCAUACUAAACUAUUCUCACUCCAAGAACCUUGCUCACAUGUAAUUCUCCCCAUAAUUCAGAUUUUUCUUUCCUCUGUAAAUCACAUGCACUAGAGAGCCCCAUUUAUGAAAACAAAAUCUAUGACAAAACCCUCUUAACACCAGUAAAUCUUCUUUUAAUGAAUUGGGCCUGUAGCUUCAAUUAUGAAGCUGGGAUGUGGCGGCUGCUGAGUGAGCCAUGCCAACAACAACACUGAGGCAGAUCACUGUCUUAAGGGUGUUAGGAGAGUCUUGGGAAAGGCUUGGAUGCUCCCUCUUUCCCUUCAAGCACUUUCACAUCUGCACUGCAUUAUAUCCCCUUCCAGAUGACUUUGCUGGGAUCUCCAGUGUUCUUGGGAGUAUUAGCAUUAUAAGAAAAAAAUCCAUUAAUUUAUUUGUUCAGUCUUCUACAUAAAUAUACCUCUAGUCUAGUGUGAAACAGCUCGCAUAUAUCUGGUUUACUUUGUUUUCAAAUGCACCUAGCUUGGAUUUUCAGUUUUACAGUGUAUGUAAAGAAUUAAACCGUUUAAUUACAUUGUAAACCCUCUGGUUCAUUUUUUAACCCUGUUUCUGUGCACUACAUACCAUAAGACACUACUCUCCUUCAGCAUUACCAGGAAUAAAGCACUUCCAGGUAUCCUGUAGAAGUUGGAUGGGCCACUUACAGGGAGGGGCAGAUCUAGUGACUCCCACAUGGCCAGGUGAUGUGGGAAGGAUGAAGGUGCUAUUUCUAUCCUCUCCCUUGGGAAGGAUGUUUGGGCCAUCCAUAAGACACAGGGUGUUGCCAAGCCCAGUUUUCUCUUUAGCACUGAGAAAUUGCCAGUGGACUGACACAUGGUAGGUGAUGCUCUUGUCCUUUCUGGCUCUGGGAACAGAGAAAGCGGCAAAGCACAAAGGAAAUAUUCACCCUCAAACCCUCCUGCCCUCAUCUGUGACCAAUGUGAUGAUGAAGACACUGGGGUGGAGGGAUCAGAUUGUCUCAAUCACCUACUCUUGUCAUAUUGAUACCAGUAAUAAGGUUUUCCUGCUACCUCCUUCUGUUGGCCUCCCAGGGUAACUCUCUUGGUACCAUAGUAAAACUCAGUAUGGCAGAGGACCUCUUUGACUCUAUUUUAAUUUUUGAAAGUCUGCACUUGUCCUGUUCUCUGUCUUUCUGCACCAGUCUGGGUCAUCUUGAUUUAGUGAUGGAAGAUUCCUUGGUUGAGAAAUGAGAGAAGGGAAUAUUAAAACAAUAAAUUUCACUUACUGGAAUGCUUGGCCAAGAGACACCUGUUCCUGUGCAUUUUCAUCACUUGAAGUGGAUGCUGGUCUAGUAGAACUACUGCAGCACAUAGGCACUCUUGUGGACUGCAAGGUGGACUGCAAGUUUGCUAAAGGGAGAUCUCUGAGCAGUGAGAAGAACUACUGCAGUUUUUCCAUGUUUUACCAUGUGUUGUUCCACCUUCUUUCCUGAAGUUACAUGGUUUCCUACAUAAGGAGGAAAAGAUAUUGAAAGUAUGAACAUUUCCAACAUAUUCAUCUGAAACUGGGCUUCUGCACAAUAUUAA
Long non-coding RNA from Passer domesticus (house sparrow), 5505 nucleotides. RefSeq lists it as uncharacterized. Lineage: Eukaryota; Metazoa; Chordata; Aves; Passeriformes; Passeridae. The record is from RefSeq and is a predicted model, not a curated record. The transcript has 4 exons.